GCCCUCGGUGGCUCAGAUGGACAGAGCGUUUGCUUUGUAAGCAGGAGAUCCCGGGUUCGAGUCCCAGGCAGGGCA
Non-coding RNA from Schistocerca cancellata (South American locust), 75 nucleotides. Lineage: Eukaryota; Metazoa; Arthropoda; Insecta; Orthoptera; Acrididae. The record is from the annotation of a RefSeq genome assembly.